This 470-nucleotide ribosomal RNA is filed under the name uncultured bacterium. Its description in RNAcentral is "bacterial SSU rRNA". It matches the Rfam family "Bacterial small subunit ribosomal RNA", at positions 9 to 524 of the family's 1533-position model. The record is from RNAcentral.
GAGUUUGAUCCUGGCUCAGAACGAACGCUGGCGGCGGCUUAACACAUGCAAGUCGAACGCGUGUAGCAAUACACGAGUGGCGCACGGGUGAGUAACGCGUGGAUAUCUGCCUUUUGGUUCGGAAUAACCUUGGGAAACCGAGGCUAAUACCGGAUGGUUCCUACGGGAUAAAGAUUUAUCGCCAAAAGAUGAGUCCGCGUCCGAUUAGCUAGUUGGUGAGGUAACGGCUCACCAAGGCGACGAUCGGUAGCUGGUCUGAGAGGACGAUCAGCCACACUGGGACUGAGACACGGCCCAGACUCCUACGGGAGGCAGCAGUGGGGAAUAUUGGACAAUGGGGGCAACCCUGAUCCAGCCAUGCCGCGUGAGUGAUGAAGGCCUUCGGGUUGUAAAGCUCUUUUGGCGGGGACGAUGAUGACGGUACCCGCAGAAUAAGCCCCGGCUAACUUCGUGCCAGCAGCCGCGGUAAG